This 1616-nucleotide long non-coding RNA is filed under the name Panax ginseng (ginseng). Its description in RNAcentral is "long non-coding RNA (PGIN_LNC013141)". Lineage: Eukaryota; Viridiplantae; Streptophyta; Magnoliopsida; Apiales; Araliaceae. The record is from RNAcentral.
CAGCAAAUUAUUUGGGUGGUGAGGAAAGAGAAAGAGAACGAUGAAGAACAGGAGAGGUGGUUGCCUGAAGGAUACAAAAAAAGGAUGGAGGACAAGGGUUUAAUAAUAAGAGGGUGGGCGCCCCAAGUUCUAAUCCUUGAUCAUGAAACGCUCCUGCGCCAAAGCAAUUACAAUUUGAAACCAUGUAAAAGCUCAUAUAUGCUGGAUUUCUAUGAUUUUUAAUAUAUUAUCUUGUUGAGAUAUCUCCAAUAGCCUAUAUCGCCUACUUCUUGUAUGAUUGAGGUAACCAUCGACUCAUCUUGAUAAUUAAUUAAUUUUAAUAAAUAAAUAAAUAAUAAUGCUUACCAACCAUUUUCAAACUUAUUUACUCAAAUUAUGUAUCACUUCACCUUUAUGGUCCAUAUCAAUAUUAUAUUUUUUCAGUUUCCCUUUCGGUUUGUUAUUUAGUUUUUUAUAUACACAUGUAUGUAUUUUUUAUUACAUGUAUUUCCAUUUAUUUAUCCUGUUUUAUUUUCUUCUUUUUAUCCUUUUAUUUCUUCUUCUAACCUUUUUCAACCUACCCAGCUCCGAUAAUAGGCGUUGAGUAGUUAAGUAUAUUUGCCCAUACACUUCGUAAAACUCAAAAUGCAGCAAGGAACACAUAAAAUACACCCCGCAAUAAUACGAGCAAUAAUUCAAAAGAGAAACAGGUAGAUAAUAGAUUCAUCCCACUUGCAGUUUUCCUCAUUGACAUACCAAAUAUACAAUACAUAUGUCUGAUAAAUAAUACAUGUGUGUUUGUGCGUGUAGAAAAAGAUAAAUAAACAUACAAAUUAUGCAACUUACAAUAAUUCAAGACAAAUCCACUACAGAUAAUUUGUCAGCAUCCACUCCUGCAAAAUUGCCAUUGAAAACACAGAUUUAUACAGCAAAACUUGGGUCAUAACUGUGCAAAUUGCGAGCAAAAGAACAGAAUUGUAAAACUUGAUUGGGAGAAAAAAACAAAUAUCAUACUUGCUUCAAUAAACAACUAAAACAAUUACAUGAAAUUCAGUGAAACUUUGAAUACAGGAAAGUUUAUUAAAACUAAGAAAAUAAUGGGUUGAUGACCGACACUUGUUGAUAUGAUUUAGAUCCCAAAAUAUUCAGAAAUCAAAUUAAACAAAUAUGGAAACAGGGGUGGUGACUGACCAUAUUUCACAGUAAAAAAAUAAGAAAAAGUGAAAUUUUUUUUUCAUUUCGGAGCAAAUUAAGUGAGAAAUUUACUUCAGAUUACGGCAAUUGGGAAUUUCCACAAAGAUUGGAAAUUUAUUUUCCUCCUAAUCGUCGGUCGGAGGUCUGUAAGAAUCAAGCUGCCAUCACAGAAGAAACAGUCAAUAAAAAAAAAAGGUUCAGCAGUUCCUUUAAUUUCUAGUCAAUCAAGCGUUGAUCUUCAAAAUUGCAGAGCUUCUGGAGCAAUCAAAGCGUUGAUUUUCAAAAAUCCAAGCUUUACUGGCUGAAGAGUUCGAUAUUCCCACCAGCCAAGACAAUUAGGCUCAACUGUUAUGGGUCCCUACUACACGAACCCACAUUCUCAAUAUGGAGUGUCCCGUGGCUCGGACACAGGGGAAUGCUUCAGAUGAUUUAUUAGAUUGACC